UCUCCGUUGGUGAACCAGCGGAGGGAUCAUUACAGGACUCGCAAGACUCCUACAACCCUGUGAACUUAACUAUAAGCACGUUGCUUCGGCGGGUGUCUCGGAGGGGGUUCUCCGUCCCCGAGACGCUAAACCCGCCGGCAGCCUACUAUACUCUGUCUCUUUGCGUUGGCAUCUCGAGUACAAUCAAACAAGUUAAAACUUUCAACAACGGAUCUCUUGGUUCUG
This 225-nucleotide unclassified non-coding RNA is filed under the name plant metagenome. RNAcentral's name for it is "partial contains small subunit ribosomal RNA, internal transcribed spacer 1, and 5.8S ribosomal RNA". The record is from RNAcentral.